Molecule: ribosomal RNA, 253 nt
Filed under: uncultured bacterium
Lineage: Bacteria
Description: partial 16S ribosomal RNA
Rfam family: Bacterial small subunit ribosomal RNA
Source: RNAcentral
UACAGAGGUCUCAAGCGUUGUUCGGAUUUAUUGGGCGUAAAGAGCUCGUAGGCGGUUUGUCGCGUCUGCUGUGAAAACUCGGGGCUCAACUCCGGGCCUGCAGUGGGUACGGGCAGACUAGAGUGCGGUAGGGGAGAGUGGAAUUCCUGGUGUAGCGGUGAAAUGCGCAGAUAUCAGGAGGAACACCGGUGGCGAAGGCGGGUCUCUGGGCCGUAACUGACGCUGAGGAGCGAAAGCGUGGGGAGCAAACAGG